GUGCUCGCUUCAGCAACACAUACACUAAAAUUGGAACAAUACAGAGAUUAGCGUGGCCCCUGUGCAAGGAUAACACACAGAUUUGUGAAGCGUUCCACAUUAAA
Molecule: small nuclear RNA, 104 nt
Organism: Nyctereutes procyonoides (raccoon dog)
Lineage: Eukaryota; Metazoa; Chordata; Mammalia; Carnivora; Canidae
Source: RefSeq, a predicted model, not a curated record